This is a long non-coding RNA of Centropristis striata (black sea bass), 663 nucleotides long. RefSeq lists it as uncharacterized. The record is from RefSeq and is a predicted model, not a curated record. NCBI's taxonomy places the organism in Eukaryota, Metazoa, Chordata, Actinopteri, Perciformes, Serranidae. The transcript is spliced from 3 exons.
UGUGAUGAUGAUGUUAUGAUGUCAGGUGAUGAUGUCAUGGGAUGAUGAUGUCAGGUGGUGAUGUCAGGUGAUGUCAUUUGGUGGUGAUGUCAUGUGAUGAUGAUGUCAGGUGAUGAUGAUGUCAUGUGAUGAUGUCCUGUGAUGAUGAUGUCAUGAUGUCAGGUGAUGAUGGCAUGUGAUGAUGUCAGGUGGUGAUGUCAUGUGAUGAUGAUGUCAGGUGUUGAUGUCAUAGUUGGGUCAUCUAUAGCAGUUCCAUGACCGUGGAGAGCGAAGGUUGGUUUCUCACUGGAUUUGUCAUCUAUAAGGGUUAAAUAAGAAAUUGAGCCGGGGUGCCCCUCUCAAAGAUGUGGGGAAAAUUUUUGAGAGCCCUUAAUCCAAAAUGGCUAACGUCAGCCAAGCUGGAAAUUAUCUUUUUAAUGGUUUGGACCACAGUACUGCAUAAUAGAUGGUUUCUGAGACUAUUUGGGUCAAGAAAUUCAUAAGUGAUGUAAAUUUAUUGAUUUGACCUAUUUUUGACCCAAAUUCAAGAUGGCCGCCAAUUUUUGGCUCUUUAAAUGUCCAUUUUUCAAAAUUGUCAUAGAGCCUUAAUAUUAGGCUCAAAUGAAAGCUCUGCUCAUACUGAGUUCAGUUAUGGAUAGUAAAAUUACAAGUAGGCUACACAGA